GACGAACGCUGGCGGCGUGCUUAACACAUGCAAGUCGAGCGAUGAAGCUUCUUCGGAAGUGGAUUAGCGGCGGACGGGUGAGUAACACGUGGGUAACCUGCCUCAUAGAGGGGAAUAGCCUUCCGAAAGGAAGAUUAAUACCGCAUAAGAUUGUAAUAUCGCAUGAUAUAGUAAUUAAAGGAGCAAUCCGCUAUGAGAUGGACCCGCGUCGCAUUAGCUAGUUGGUGAGGUAACGGCUCACCAAGGCGACGAUGCGUAGCCGACCUGAGAGGGUGAUCGGCACCAUUGGGACUGAGACACGGCCCAGACUCCUACGGGGGGCAGCAGUGGGGAAUAUUGCACAAUGGGGGAAACCCUGGUGCAGCAACGCCGCGUGAGUGAUGACGGUCUUCGGAUUGUAAAGCUCUGUCUUCAGGGACGAUAAUGACGGUACCUGAGGAGGAAGCCACGGCUAACUACGUGCCAGCAGCCGCCGUAA
This 478-nucleotide ribosomal RNA is filed under the name uncultured bacterium. Its description in RNAcentral is "partial 16S ribosomal RNA". It matches the Rfam family "Bacterial small subunit ribosomal RNA", at positions 28 to 523 of the family's 1533-position model. The record is from RNAcentral.